Molecule: ribosomal RNA, 464 nt
Filed under: Vreelandella stevensii
Lineage: Bacteria; Pseudomonadati; Pseudomonadota; Gammaproteobacteria; Oceanospirillales; Halomonadaceae
Description: partial 16S ribosomal RNA
Rfam family: Bacterial small subunit ribosomal RNA
Source: RNAcentral
CUACGGGGUGCAGCAGUGGGGAAUAUUGGACAAUGGGCGAAAGCCUGAUCCAGCCAUGCCGCGUGUGUGAAGAAGGCCUUCGGGUUGUAAAGCACUUUCAGUGGGGAAGAAAGCCUUGGGGCUAAUACCCUCGAGGAAGGACAUCACCCACAGAAGAAGCACCGGCUAACUCCGUGCCAGCAGCCGCGGUAAUACGGAGGGUGCGAGCGUUAAUCGGAAUUACUGGGCGUAAAGCGCGCGUAGGCGGUCUGAUAAGCCGGUUGUGAAAGCCCCGGGCUCAACCUGGGAACGGCAUCCGGAACUGUCAGGCUAGAGUGCAGGAGAGGAAGGUAGAAUUCCCGGUGUAGCGGUGAAAUGCGUAGAGAUCGGGAGGAAUACCAGUGGCGAAGGCGGUCUUCUGGACUGACACUGACGCUGAGGUGCGAAAGCGUGGGUAGCAAACAGGAUUAGAUACCCCGGUAGUC